CCUUAUUGCUAUCGGGACAGGACUAAGACAUGCUAGUUUAGCGUCUUCAAGCUAUGAUGGAGACGCAGCGCACAGCUCAGUAACACGUGGCCAACCUGCCCUUAGGACAAGUAUAACCCCGGGAAACUGGGGAUAAUCCUUGAUAGGUGAGGAAUUCUGGAAUGAGUCUUUGCUUAAAGGACGUGCAGAUCACGGUUUUGUGCGUUGCCUAAGGAUGGGGCCGCGGCCGAUCAGGUUGUUGGUGAGGUAACGGCUCACCAAGCCUAUAACCGGUACGGGCCGUGAGAGCGGAAGCCCGGAGAUGGGCACUGAGACAAGGGCCCAGGCCCUACGGGGCGCAGCAGUCGCGAAAACUCCGCAAUACGCGAAAGCGUGACGGGGCUAUCCCGAGUGCUAUUCGAUGAGAGUAGCCUUUCCUCAGUGUAAAGUGCUGGGGGAAUAAGGAGGGGGCAAGACUGGUGUCAGCCGCCGCGGUAAUACCAGCUCUCCGAGUGAUAGGGACGUUAUUGGGCCUAAAGCAUCCGUUGCUUGCUAAGUCUGUCCUCCGUUAAAUCCAACGAUUCAAUCGUUGGGCUGCGGGGGAUACUGCUUAGCUAGGAGGCGGGAGAGGCCGACGGUAUUUCCGGGGUAGGGGUGAAAUCCUAUAAUCCCGGGACGACCACCAGUGGCGAAGGCUGUCGGCUAGAACGCGCUCGACAGUGAGGGAUGAAAGCUGGGGGAGCAAACCGGAUUAGAUACCCGGGUAGUCCCAGCUGUAAACGAUGCAGGCUAGGUGUUGGUGUGGCUACGAGCCGCUCCAGUGCCGCAGGGAAGCCGUUAAGCCUGCCGCCUGGGAAGUACGGCCGCAAGGCUGAAACUUAAAGGAAUUGGCGGGGGAGCACCACAAGGGGUGAAGCUUGCGGUUUA
This 906-nucleotide ribosomal RNA is filed under the name uncultured crenarchaeote. RNAcentral describes it as "bacterial SSU rRNA". It matches the Rfam family "Archaeal small subunit ribosomal RNA", at positions 21 to 904 of the family's 1478-position model. Lineage: Archaea; Thermoproteati; Thermoproteota. The record is from RNAcentral.